Molecule: ribosomal RNA, 383 nt
Filed under: Hyalomma sp.
Lineage: Eukaryota; Metazoa; Arthropoda; Arachnida; Ixodida; Ixodidae
Description: partial large subunit ribosomal RNA
Rfam family: Bacterial large subunit ribosomal RNA (bases 239-383)
Source: RNAcentral
GAAUGCUAAAAGAAUGGAAAUUUAAAAAAAAACUUUUUUAAAAAUAAAAAUUGAAUUUUUUUUAAUUUGUGCAAAAACAAUUAUACUUAUUAAAGACAAGAAGACCCUAAGAAUUUAAGAUUUUACAAUUAAAAAGUUUUUUUUUAAAAUCUUGAUUGGGGCGAUCAAAAAAUAUUAAUAACUUUUUAAAAUUUAAAUUGAUCUAUUAUUAAUAAACUAAUGAAUUAAAUACUCUAGGGAUAACAGCGUAAUAAUUUUUGAUAGAUCUUAUUGACAAAAUAGUUUGCGACCUCGAUGUUGGAUUAGGAUUCUUUUUUAAUGAAGAAGUUAAAAAAAGAAGUUUGUUCAACUUUUAAAUUCCUACUUGAUCUGAGUUCAAACCG